Molecule: ribosomal RNA, 1067 nt
Filed under: Pestalotiopsis microspora
Lineage: Eukaryota; Fungi; Ascomycota; Sordariomycetes; Amphisphaeriales; Sporocadaceae
Description: SSU rRNA
Rfam family: Eukaryotic small subunit ribosomal RNA
Source: RNAcentral
CUACUUUCUAGUAUAGCAUUAUACAGCGAAACUGCGAAUGGCUCAUUAAAUCAGUUAUCGUUUAUUUGAUAGUACCUUACUACUUGGAUAACCGUGGUAAUUCUAGAGCUAAUACAUGCUAAAAACCCCGACUCACGAAGGGGUGUAUUUAUUAGAUUAAAAACCAAUGCCCUUCGGGGCUCUUUGGUGAUUCAUAAUAACUUUUCGAAUCGCAUGGCCUUGCGCCGGCGAUGGUUCAUUCAAAUUUCUGCCCUAUCAACUUUCGAUGGCAGGGUCUUGGCCUGCCAUGGUUACAACGGGUAACGGAGGGUUAGGGCUCGACCCCGGAGAAGGAGCCUGAGAAACGGCUACUACAUCCAAGGAAGGCAGCAGGCGCGCAAAUUACCCAAUCCCGAUUCGGGGAGGUAGUGACAAUAAAUACUGAUACAGGGCUCUUUUGGGUCUUGUAAUUGGAAUGAGUACAAUUUAAAUCCCUUAACGAGGAACAAUUGGAGGGCAAGUCUGGUGCCAGCAGCCGCGGUAAUUCCAGCUCCAAUAGCGUAUAUUAAAGUUGUUGCAGUUAAAAAGCUCGUAGUUGAACCUUGGGCCUGGCUGGCCGGUCCGCCUCACCGCGUGCACUGGUUCGGCCGGGCCUUUCCCUCUGGGGAACCUCAUGGUCUUCACUGAUCGUGAUGGGGAACCAGGACUUUUACUGUGAAAAAAUUAGAGUGUUCAAAGCAGGCCUAUGCUCGAAUACAUUAGCAUGGAAUAAUAAAAUAGGACGUGUGGUUCUAUUUUGUUGGUUUCUAGGACCGCCGUAAUGAUUAAUAGGGACAGUCGGGGGCAUCAGUAUUCAAUUGUCAGAGGUGAAAUUCUUGGAUUUAUUGAAGACUAACUACUGCGAAAGCAUUUGCCAAGGAUGUUUUCAUUAAUCAGGAACGAAAGUUAGGGGAUCGAAGACGAUCAGAUACCGUCGUAGUCUUAACCAUAAACUAUGCCGACUAGGGAUCGGACGGUGUACUUAUUGACCCGUUCGGACCUUACGAGAAUCAAAGUCUUUGGUUCUGGGGAAAUAUGUCCAAGUGAGG